RNAcentral lists this transfer RNA (73 nucleotides) under Ovis aries (sheep). It matches the Rfam family "tRNA". Rfam says of the family: Transfer RNA (tRNA) molecules are approximately 80 nucleotides in length. The record is from Rfam by way of RNAcentral. Lineage: Eukaryota; Metazoa; Chordata; Mammalia; Artiodactyla; Bovidae.
UCCCUGGCAGUCCAGUGGUUAAGAUGCUGCACUUCCACUGCAGAAGCCAUGGGUUCGAUCCCUCGUUGGGGAA